Molecule: ribosomal RNA, 484 nt
Filed under: uncultured bacterium
Lineage: Bacteria
Description: partial 16S ribosomal RNA
Rfam family: Bacterial small subunit ribosomal RNA
Source: RNAcentral
AUUGAACGCUGGCGGCAGGCCUAACACAUGCAAGUCGUGCGGUAGAGAGAAGCUUGCUUCUCUUGAGAGCGGCGGACGGGUGAGUAAUGCCUAUGAAUCUGCCUGGUAGUGGGGGUUAACGUUCGGAAACGGACGCUAAUACCGCAUACGUCCUACGGGAGAAAGCAGGGGACCUUUGGGCCUUGCGCUAUCAGAUGAGCCUAGGUCGGAUUAGCUAGUUGGUGGGGUAAUGGCUCACCAAGGCGACGAUCCGUAACUGGUCUGAGAGGAUGAUCAGUCACACUGGAACUGAGACACGGUCCAGACUCCUACGGGAGGCAGCAGUGGGGAAUAUUGGACAAUGGGCGAAAGCCUGAUCCAGCCAUGCCGCGUGUGUGAAGAAGGUCUUCGGAUUGUAAAGCACUUUAAGUUGGGAGGAAGGGCAGUUGCCUAAUACGUGACUGUUUUGACGUUACCGACAGAAUAAGCACCGGCUAACUCUGUG